CAGCAGCCACGGGAAUACGAAGGGUGCAAGCGUUAAUCGGAAUUACUGGGCGUAAAGCGUGCGUAGGUGGUGGUUUAAGUCCGUUGUGAAAGCCCUGGGCUCAACCUGGGAAUUGCAGUGGAUACUGGGUCACUAGAGUGUGGUAGAGGAUAGUGGAAUUUCCGGUGUAGCAGUGAAAUGCGUAGAGAUCGGAAGGAACAUCUGUGGCGAAGGCGACUAUCUGGGCCAACACUGACACUGAGGCACGAAAGCGUGGGGAGCAAACAGGAUUAGAUACCCGGGUAGUCCCUGUCUCUUAUAC
This 301-nucleotide ribosomal RNA is filed under the name uncultured bacterium. RNAcentral describes it as "partial 16S ribosomal RNA". It matches the Rfam family "Bacterial small subunit ribosomal RNA", at positions 509 to 807 of the family's 1533-position model. The record is from RNAcentral.